UAGAGUUUGAUCAUGGCUCANAACGAACGCUGGCGGCAGGCUUAACACAUGCAAGUCGAACGCUCCGCAAGGAGAGUGGCAGACGGGUGAGUAACACGUGGGANCGUACCCUUUACUACGGAACAACUCCGGGAAACUGGAGCUAAUACCGUAUGUGCCCUUCGGGGGAAAGAUUUAUCGGUAAAGGAUCGGCCCGCGUUGGAUUAGCUAGUUGGUGGGGUAAAGGCCUACCAAGGCGACNAUNCAUAGCUGGUCUGAGAGGAUGAUCAGCCACNUUGNGACUGAGACACGGCCCAAACUCCUACUGGGGGCAGC
This 315-nucleotide ribosomal RNA is filed under the name uncultured bacterium. RNAcentral's name for it is "bacterial SSU rRNA". It matches the Rfam family "Bacterial small subunit ribosomal RNA", at positions 1 to 352 of the family's 1533-position model. The record is from RNAcentral.